CGGAACAUGUCCAGUAGUGGGGGAUAGCCCGGCGAAAGCCGGAUUAAUACCGCAUACGAUCUCUGGAUGAAAGCGGGGGACCUUCGGGCCUCGCGCUAUUGGGGUGGCCGAUGGCGGAUUAGCUAGUUGGUGGGGUAAAGGCUCACCAAGGCGACGAUCCGUAGCUGGUCUGAGAGGACGACCAGCCACACUGGGACUGAGACACGGCCCAGACUCCUACGGGAGGCAGCAGUGGGGAAUUUUGGACAAUGGGCGAAAGCCUGAUCCAGCAAUGCCGCGUGUGUGAAGAAGGCCUUCGGGUUGUAAAGCACUUUUGUCCGGAAAGAAAUCCUUUGGGUUAAUACCUCAGGGGGAUGACGGUACCGGAAGAAUAAGCACCGGCUAACUACGUGCCAGCAGCCGCGGUAAUACGUAGGGUGCGAGCGUUAAUCGGAAUUACUGGGCGUAAAGCGUGCGCAGGCGGUGAUGUAAGACCGAUGUGAAAUCCCCGGGCUUAACCUGGGAACUGCAUUGGUGACUGCAUCGCUGGAGUAUGGCAGAGGGGGGUAGAAUUCCACGUGUAGCAGUGAAAUGCGUAGAGAUGUGGAGGAAUACCGAUGGCGAAGGCAGCCCCCUGGGCCAAUACUGACGCUCAGCA
This 637-nucleotide ribosomal RNA is filed under the name Paraburkholderia sp. RNAcentral describes it as "bacterial SSU rRNA". It matches the Rfam family "Bacterial small subunit ribosomal RNA", at positions 119 to 753 of the family's 1533-position model. The record is from RNAcentral. Lineage: Bacteria; Pseudomonadati; Pseudomonadota; Betaproteobacteria; Burkholderiales; Burkholderiaceae.